GAUACUUGGGUCCAAAUAAGGACCAGGGCCAAAGGGUAUCAGUGGUGCCCCCAAAGCAAUGCAAUGUCUUCUGCCAUUUUUAAUUCUUCCUACUUGGCUUUCUUUGGAUUUUGUAUUGCAGAGGCACACCCUGGGACCAUUACAGAUGAGGCUGUGGACUGUGACCUUGGGGGAGAUGGGGAGAGAAGGAAGAGGAAAUGGGAAGAGGUUGGUGAGGGUGUGAGGAGGAGGAGGUAAUGGAAGUUUAAUGGAGUAAUAAACGAUCAAAGUGGGGUGGUGUGCAUAGCCAUGGGUAGAGCGUAGCGUCAGAGCCCCAUGUGUUGGCUUAGAAGGGGCUUCAGGAUGAGUGCAGGGGAUUCAGGACAUUUGCGGUAAACGGUUUCAAUCUAUAGAAGUGUUUCUCUGUCUCUACCUCUGAUCCCAGCUUGCUUUCCUUCAUUCCUGUAUGCAUUCACAGAUCAGAAAAUAUGAGUCCCAUGUACCAGUUCCUGGGAACACAGCAGUAAAGAAGGCAGGCAUAUUUCUGCUCCUCACAUGGUUUUUAGUCCUCUGCCUCUUUGAAGAAAGGCACUCUGAGAAGUGGGAAUUAAAUGGCUGUAGAUGAGUUGCAACAAGAAUUGUAUGACCUGCCUUCUGGGAAGGAUGCACAGAUCAGAAGAGAAGCUGUCAUGACUCAGACCAACUGAGAACACUGGCCAACAAUGCACUGGUUCCAAAGGCACCAGCUCAGUCCUGUGGAUUUGAAGAUUCUGGAGUGCUGGGGAAGGGGUAACUGGACUCUGAAGCAUUUCUCCCUUGGGAGGCUGGGCCAGCUUCAGCCAAAGCCCUGGCCAUCUGUGCAAGGAACAACACUGCUGAACAGCAUGCUUUCCUGGAGCUGUCCUCCCUGCUCUGUGUAUAGACUCUUGGGACUAUGGCAACAGAUGUGGAAACUGAGGCAUGGCUAAGGAAGGCCAUGAGCCACCUGGUCAUCCACCCCAGCAGCGCCUCAGAGCCUGAGUGGACUCAGGCUCUGGAGUCCAUUGAGCUCAGCACUGCAUCUGAAGGAAUUUGUUGGACAGCUUGAGCCCUCCCUGCAAGGCAGGAUCUACUGAAGAAGAAUCUGGAACUAGAGAGGCCCUGGGCUCUGCACUCCAGUGGGGGGAGUGCAUGACAGGGGAGGGAAUGACAGGACAUCUUUGGUCACUUCUGCUUCCUGUGCUCCCCACCAUUCCUGAAUUCCUCGGAACAGUGUCUGUGACCCCAGCCCUGUUUACCCACUGGUGUACCCCAGGGUCUACAGCCAUCCAGGGCACACAGCGGCUUCUCAGAAAAUAUGUCUUGACUGAGGGUGGAUGGUGCCCAUUUAUGGCAGCAUCCUGAGGCUCUAGAGCCCUUUCUGUUUCUUUUCCAGAAAGGCCCAGGGGUGGGGGUGGGGGACUUGGGAAGUGAAUGCAGUGUAUCUCCAUGUUCUCAGCCUCACUCCAACCCUCCCUGCCUGCCUCUGCCCCGUCCACAGUGCCAACCCACCACCUUGCCACCCCAUCAUCAUGGCUUCCCUCCCCUUGUUGAUCCUUUCUUCAUGUUAACAAGCUCAUAUUCUACCUCACCUUGGUUAUUUGCCUCAUGUAUCAAAGUCUUAAGCUAAAGGAAUAAAUCUCUAAGAUGACUGAUUUCCAGCAUCAUAAGGGAGAAGAAGGCCUGCAUUGGGAGGGGGUAACAGUGGGGACUUCUGAAGACACAGAAAAUGCCUAUGAGACCUAGAGCUCCAGCUCCCCAACCAGUCCCACCCAGAACUUCCCAUGCUAUCUGUAUGACCCUGGGAGGAAGUGACGCACAGGUUUCCCUGUGAGGCUCAUGCUGAGUGUGAAAGCUGAUGACAAGGGUUGCAGGGGGAGCUGAACAAAAGCAGCCCAGAAGUGAGUUUCUUCUCAGCAUAUCACCUUACUGCAGCGAUUCCAGGAGUCAGUGAGGGAGGGUGGCCCCGCCCACCUCCGCAGCUGCCUGGGUGUGGCCUGGGGAGUGGGGCAGGCUGGGCCGUGAGACAGAUGAUUUCAAUUUAAGGCAGUAUUUGGGGAGAAUUCUGUUCCACUCGAUCAUUUUUCUUCGCGCCCCCCCCCCACCCCCCAAACUUGAUUCCAUCAGUGGUGGAUGAGAAAGGCCUGUUUCCAUAGCAACGCCACUGUGAAAGAGGGAAAAAUCAGCAACACAGUGCAGGCUGUUUUCAUUUGCAAGCGGGCACUUGGGUGGGUAAAGAAGUGAAGGCCCAGUUAACACUGAGCAGGCUCUGAGCCCCAGAUUUCCUAGUGGUCGACCAUGUGGGGCCCCAGAAAAAGCUUGGUACAUGCGGGAGCACCAAAUAUUACAUCCAGGGAAACACACCUGUUCAUUGCCUGGUUUCCAUUAAACCAGCCUGAUUUCUUUGGGCUCUAGGCCUGCUGUCCUGUGUUUAUUUUCAUGGCUGAUGUUACCCAACCAGACUGAUGAGUCUGGAUAUUUCUCCUUUUCUUAUGUUGUUUCCUGUUUAGCUGACUGUGCUCAAUAUUUCUGUGCAUGUUCAUUUCCCAUCUGAUGCUGCCAAAGAGGACUAGGGUUGUUUUCUUAUCUUCCAAGCCCACGGCCUAGACAUUGUUCCUAAUCAAAGGGAUCAAUCCAAAGGGAGGGAAUCUUUGGGAGAAAUGAAGGGUUUCAGCUUAACCUCUACACCCUUUUGGAAGAAGCUGCAUUUCUUGGGAGAAAUUGUUGGCUGGACUUGGUGUCCCAGCCCCAGGCCAGAAUGAAAUGUUCAGCAAAGGUGUUUCUAGGAGGCUUGCUGCUUUGCAGAUUUUCAAGUCUGGGCUUGAGGAUUGGGGAUAAAAGUGACCUUCACACCUUUCUGAGGUUCUCAUCCUGGUGAUUUCCUUGGAGAUCCAUAUACCAGCCUAGCUCUGGGCCUGGCCAGAACUAAUGGUCCUGGGUCUGGAACUAUCCCCAAUAUAAUCUUCUCCAGGGUUUUGCCCUUCACUGAGAACUCCACUGGGCCUUUUAAAGUAGAUUAAAUCCAUAUGUUUCUGAUUCAUUUACACUUAACUCAUCAGAAUGUUCCCCUUUUUAUGAGUGAUUUGUUGUCUUAAGAUGCCUUUGCAGUCUUGUUUGUAAGUGUUUCUUUUCCCCUUAGAAAUAAGAUACCAUGUAUUCUCAAAGCAAGAGUAUAGAGGACUGUGGUGGUAGAAAUGUAACUUCAGACCUGAAUUUUGUUUUGGUUCACAGAGGAAAUAAAAUGUUUCAGCAAAGCUG
Felis catus (domestic cat) is the source of this 3255-nucleotide long non-coding RNA. RefSeq lists it as uncharacterized. The record is from RefSeq and is a predicted model, not a curated record. Lineage: Eukaryota; Metazoa; Chordata; Mammalia; Carnivora; Felidae. The transcript has 3 exons.